Unclassified non-coding RNA from Callithrix jacchus (white-tufted-ear marmoset), 254 nucleotides. It matches the Rfam family "Metazoan signal recognition particle RNA". From Rfam's summary of the family: The signal recognition particle (SRP) is a universally conserved ribonucleoprotein. It is involved in the co-translational targeting of proteins to membranes. The record is from Ensembl. NCBI's taxonomy places the organism in Eukaryota, Metazoa, Chordata, Mammalia, Primates, Cebidae.
GCUGGGCACGGUGGCGCGUGCCUAUAAUCCCAGCUACUCAGGAGGCUGAGGCAGGAGAAUUGCCUGAACCCAGGAGGCGGAGGUUGUGGUGAGCCGAGAUCACGCCAUUGAACUCCAGCCUGGGUGAAAAGAGCGAAACUCAGUCUCAAAAAAAAAAAACAAAACAAAAACUCCCGUGCUGGUCAGUAGUGGGAUCGCCCCUGUGAAUAGCCACUGCACUCCAGCCUGGGCAACAUAGCGAGACCCCGUCUCUU